UGGGGAAUAUUGGACAAUGGGCGAAAGCCUGAUCCAGCCAUGCCGCGUGUGUGAAGAAGGUCUUCGGAUUGUAAAGCACUUUAAGUUGGGAGGAAGGGCAGUAAGCGAAUACCUUGCUGUUUUGACGUUACCGACAGAAUAAGCACCGGCUAACUCUGUGCCAGCAGCCGCGGUAAUACAGAGGGUGCAAGCGUUAAUCGGAAUUACUGGGCGUAAAGCGCGCGUAGGUGGUUCGUUAAGUUGAAUGUGAAAGCCCCGGGCUCAACCUGGGAACUCCUUCCAAACCUGGCGACCUGGAGUAGGCCAGAGGGUGUUGGAAUUUCCUGUUUACCGGUGAAUUCCUUAGAUAUAGUAAGGAACACCAUUGGCAAAGCCAACCACCUGGCCUCUUCCUGCCACUGAGUUCCAAAAGCGUGGGAGCAAACAGG
RNAcentral lists this ribosomal RNA (428 nucleotides) under Pseudomonadota bacterium. RNAcentral's name for it is "Proteobacteria bacterium partial 16S ribosomal RNA". It matches the Rfam family "Bacterial small subunit ribosomal RNA", at positions 355 to 776 of the family's 1533-position model. The record is from RNAcentral. Lineage: Bacteria; Pseudomonadati; Pseudomonadota.